This 58-nucleotide transfer RNA is filed under the name Loxodonta africana (African savanna elephant). Lineage: Eukaryota; Metazoa; Chordata; Mammalia; Proboscidea; Elephantidae. The record is from Rfam by way of RNAcentral.
GUAGCACAGUGGUUAAGCGCUCGACUGCUAAUUGAAAGGUCAUGAGUUCGAACUCAUC